Molecule: small RNA, 125 nt
Filed under: Marmota monax (woodchuck)
Lineage: Eukaryota; Metazoa; Chordata; Mammalia; Rodentia; Sciuridae
Source: RNAcentral
GCCAGGUGUGGUGGUGCACGCCUGUAAUCCCAGUGGCUUAGGAGGCUGAGGCAGGAGGAUUGCAAGUUCAAAGCCAGCCUCAGUGAAAGCGAGGCCUUAAGCAACUCAGUGAGACCCUGUCUCUA